RNAcentral lists this ribosomal RNA (254 nucleotides) under uncultured bacterium. Its description in RNAcentral is "partial 16S ribosomal RNA". It matches the Rfam family "Bacterial small subunit ribosomal RNA", at positions 524 to 776 of the family's 1533-position model. The record is from RNAcentral.
UACGUAGGGAGCAAGCGUUGUCCGGAAUCACUGGGCGUAAAGGGCGCGUAGGUGGCCACCAUAAGGCCGCGGUGAAAGUCUGGGGCUCAACCCCGGAUCGGCCGCGGCGACUGUGGGGCUUGGGCACCGUAGAGGCAGAUGGAAUUCCGGGUGUAGCGGUGGAAUGCGUAGAGAUCCGGAAGAACACCAGUGGCGAAGGCGGAUCUCUGGGCCUUACCUGACGCUCAGGUGCGAAAGCUAGGGGAGCGAACAGG